RNAcentral lists this ribosomal RNA (516 nucleotides) under Pseudis paradoxa group sp. ABGD cluster 11. Its description in RNAcentral is "partial large subunit ribosomal RNA". It matches the Rfam family "Bacterial large subunit ribosomal RNA", at positions 1848 to 2562 of the family's 2925-position model. The record is from RNAcentral. Lineage: Eukaryota; Metazoa; Chordata; Amphibia; Anura; Hylidae.
AGAGGUCCCGCCUGCCCAGUGACUCUGUUCAACGGCCGCGGUAUCCUAACCGUGCGAAGGUAGCGUAAUCACUUGUUCUUUAAAUAAGGACUAGUAUGAAUGGCACCACGAGGGUUAUACUGUCUCCCUCUUUUAAUCAGUGAAACUAAUCUCCCCGUGAAGAAGCGUGGAUAAUACUAUAAGACGAGAAGACCCUAUGGAGCUUUAAACUAGUUUCCCAACAACCUCACCUCCUUUUUAAGCUUAUGCUUUUAAUAAUCAGUCCGGUUCUAUGGGAACAAGUUUUAGGUUGGGGUGACCACGGAGUAAAAAACAACCUCCGAGCUGUAAGGGACUACUCCCUGAACAACAAACUACAACUUUAUGUACCAAUAUAUUGACACCUAUUGACCCAAUAUUUUGAUCAACGAACCAAGUUACCCUAGGGAUAACAGCGCAAUCCGCUUCAAGAGCUCCUAUCGACAAGCGGGUUUACGACCUCGAUGUUGGAUCAGGGUGUCCCAGUGGUGCAGCCGC